RNAcentral lists this ribosomal RNA (476 nucleotides) under uncultured organism. RNAcentral's name for it is "partial 16S ribosomal RNA". It matches the Rfam family "Bacterial small subunit ribosomal RNA", at positions 329 to 797 of the family's 1533-position model. The record is from RNAcentral.
ACGUACACUCCUACGGGGGGCAGCAGUGGGGAAUUUUGGACAAUGGGCGAAAGCCUGAUCCAGCCAUGCCGCGUGCAGGAUGAGGGCCUUCGGGUUGUAAACUGCUUUUGUACGGAACGAAACGGCCUUUUCUAAUAAAGAGGGCUAAUGACGGUACCGUAAGAAUAAGCACCGGCUAACUACGUGCCAGCAGCCGCGGUAAUACGUAGGGUGCAAGCGUUAAUCGGAAUUACUGGGCGUAAAGCGUGCGCAGGCGGUUAUGUAAGACAGUUGUGAAAUCCCCGGGCUCAACCUGGGAACUGCAUCUGUGACUGCAUAGCUAGAGUACGGUAGAGGGGGAUGGAAUUCCGCGUGUAGCAGUGAAAUGCGUAGAUAUGCGGAGGAACACCGAUGGCGAAGGCAAUCCCCUGGACCUGUACUGACGCUCAUGCACGAAAGCGUGGGGAGCAAACAGGAUUAGAAACCCCGGUAGUCCC